CAGAAGAGUUGGCACAGUGCCAUCCAUUCAGGGGCAACGCCACAGUUUCGUGCGAUAGCAGCAGCGGGUAUAUGUUACGGGGGCCCUGUAUGCGGGCCAGACAGUGCGGUAAAGCCAAGGGAGAUUAUCCAGACCCCCAGGAGCGAACAGCAAGCAGCAACCGAAGGCGCAAGUGCCAGGAUUACAGCCUAGGCUGCUCCAACUAUGAGCCCUUCCUCGGACCCAGGGACUCGGCUACUUGGGGUUUGGGGGUCUUCCACACCAAAGAGGCACAAAGCUGACUUUAAUCACUUUUUCCUUUAAACUUGAUUCUGCCGCAGUGGAGCCUGCAAAGCGGAUGCUUUCACACCCAGCAAGACAAAGGCCGUCGUCUCCGCCAUGACACUGUUCCGUUCCAAGCAGAGGCCGGGAUCCUGGACUCCUGGAAAAAUCAAAAAGAAACAAGGAAAACAAACAACAAAUACAGCAACAAACAGAAAAAAUUAACAACCACCAAAAUCGUGCGCCCGUUUGCCCGUGCCAGGGGUGAUCUGGGCAUCUGUUGCAGCAGAAGGCGCUUGUGUGGGGCUAUUUUUUUUUUUUUUUGGGCAAGCUAUUGGCUUGUUUGCUAUUCAACUUCGUUUAUAAUUAACUUAAAAAAACACCAUUCAGCCUAGUCAACAACAAACAAAGAGAAAAAGCAGACAUCGGAAGAGAAAUGCCACAGGAAGCGGCAUGAAUGCAUGCCACAGCCGGUGCCACUUGCCAUUCGGAAAACCUCAGGGAAUGAUGCCAAUUCUACAGCUGGGAAGAAGGCAGAGAAGGGAGCAUAGAGGUCUACAAAUAGAAAUCAUAAGGAAAGAAUACUGCUUGUAUAAUCCUGGAUUGCAAUUGCACACAGCUUCUGCUGGGAGAAGAGAGGGAAUAUUUAAAUGGAGAUAUAGAUGGGUAUAAAUUAAAAGAUAGGCACCUAUCGAUUGCAUAUAGACACAUGUGUAAGCUUGUAUGUGUAUAUAAAUACACAUAUUUUCAGACAAAUUAAACGUUUAGAUAUGUAUAUAUUUUUGUGUUAUAGGUAUGGGUAUGUGCAUAGGUGUAUAUGCUUAUGCAUAUAUACACAUAUGUGGGAUGUAUGCAUGUGUGAGGAAAAAGGAGAGGAAGACAUGAGGAGAGAGAAGGAAAUGUGUGUAUGUGCAUGUAUAUGUGUGCAUACAUCCCACUUUUUGACCCAGGUAUACAGAGAAGACAAAAUAAAAAUCAUACUCCAACAGCAAGCAGGCAGUCAGAGAUUUAUCUACAUUCACUGCUAUCACCAGGGAGAUGAAUGGGGCCGAUCUGAAGCCCUUUUACAAGAUCCACUAUGGGAGUGAAGGAGGAGGAGGGAUGCCACACAGACAUGCACAAACUUGAAGGCAGAGAGAUUUCGAAGGUGCUACUUAGGAAGCCCUGGUGGCAUAAUGCAGGGGAGAAGGGGAAGGAGGCUUGUCUCUCUCUAUGUUUUAGGUGGUUGUUUAUAAAAAAAUCUGAAAGGGUUUCAGGAAACGGCUGGUACUUACGUUGUCUGCGUUGCUGUGGAUCCUGAAAGGUGUUCUGUUGGCACCGGGCGCUGAGCCAAGGGCAGGCGCUGGAAACAAAAGGGAGAGACAAAAAAAAAAUAAAGUCAUUCAAUGGGAAUAUUAAUUGCUGCUCUUGUGGAUUUUACAAAACACAUAAACUGUUUUCUUUUUCUUUCUUUCUUUUUUUAAAAAAUGUGGAUUGGCGCGUGUCCCUUUCGCAUGGAAUAUACAAGUAGUAUGGGAUUUACAGCCCAGUACGGGACUCAGGAUUAACCGCGCUGGCAUCUUUUGGGCAUAUUCUUCCUUUUAAUGAAUGAGCUUUCGCUGUUAAUGAGGAAUAAUCGUUUGGCUAAUGAGCUUUGAAACAUUAAGAGAAAAGAGGUUUUUUUCCGUUAAUCGCUCUGGUGUGACUGCAUGGAUGGAUUACAAAAGACAGCAAUAGGAACGCAGUACAAAGGGGGGGAACUCUCCUGGAGUGGGAGAAGCACCGAGAUGGGUGAUGUGACCCUGCGUCUUUCCUUCCUUCUCUCCCUCUUUCACUCUCUCUGCCAAACGCUAUGGGUUUCCAUAACUCCGCAAUCAAAGUGGAUGGUCGGGAAGGAUUAUUACAAAGAGUGAAGCCUCCGCUGUUAAUGUCUCCAGUGUUUAAUCAUCAUACAGUAGAAUGGUUUUAUGCAUAUUUCAUUUGCAUAUCAUUAAACCGUGUUAGCGAGGGGCAUUCAGAGCCAGGAGAAGUACAAAGUUGGGGAGAGAGGGAAGAAAAAAAGGUCCCUAUGAUGCUUAUCUUCAAACAGGGACUUGUUCCAUGAUGUGUCUUCUACUUUUGCUAAAAUCAUUAUGACCUGGAAACCUUUGAAGUUGGAUACAACCUUGGAUUCUUCUAAUUCCUGCAGAGCGGUAUAUUUUUAAAACAGCAGAAAUGUUCCUGCACUAGACAAUUAAAGGAAUAUAAACUCCAGUGGGUUGAAACUAGUAGCUCUUUGGGGAAUGCAGUGGCAGAGCCUUCUACAAAUACCACCACUUAAAAAAAAUAAAUAAAGAGCAUCAUAUUAAAACAAAAGAAAAUGAAGACAAGAAAUAUUAACAUGUGGAUUAUAUUUGUUUCUUUUGGGGGGUUAAUGAACUAAAGAGAAUGAAGAAGCCAUCGGUAAUUUAUCCCUUCAUUAAUGAACAGUCACCUUUUUGUACGUGUUUGUUUUUGUCCUUUCUUUUUGAAGAGGGAUGUUGUCAAUUUUGAAGCAAUUAGUCAAUUAUUUUGUAGCUCUGAUCUUUUCCUCUGCACUCGACAGGAAAAAGAGGUGGUGGUUAGGGAAUAUGUGUGUAUUGGGGGGAUUUGUGGGAAGAGAAGGAAUACAGUGAGUUCUUUGUAGAUCUAAUACAUGCACAACAUAUUAAUUGAGAGCUUUUAAAGCUCCCUCAAUAGGCUAUUUCAUUCCUGGUAAAACAGCAGCUGGUUAGCCACUGUUGGUGACUCUUCAAAUAUCACUUUAAGUAUUUUUAUUCUGUCGCUGUUGUUGUCUUGUUUUGUUUUUCCUCAGUCAAGAAGAAGAAUAUAAUGUCACGCUUUCUUUAUCGAGUCUCUUCUCUCCUCCAUCUUCUUCUUCACUUCCAAUUUCCAAACUGUAAAAUAAUGUUGGUUUAAUAUCAAAUCCUGGUGCACAAUCUAACUGGCACAACUUGAUUUGGAAAUGAGAUGCUGUUUUGUAUUUAAAUUAUCCCCGCUCCUCCCUUAUCCUCCAAAGCUUUGUCUCUGCUAUGAAUAUUCAGAUGAGGCAUGAUGUGAUUACACUGUACAAUUACUCCUAUCCAUGGUAGUGCCAGGGACUGCUGGGGAGACAGAGAGCCUGACAGCCUCCAGGCCAACACGGAGUUUGUUUUCGGUAUUUUUCCUAUCUCCUUGGCGCUGCGGCACAUGCAGAUGUCGCUGUUGUUCUUUAUAAAGCCUUAAUGAUAUGCAAAAGCAUAACAACUUGGUUUGGAUGCAAAGCAUCGACGAAAUAUUAUGGAUGUCUUUAAGAAAGGGGGAGAGAAAAUCUUGACUGAAGGAAUGUCCACAUAAAUUAUUUUUAUUUAAAUGAAUUCAAAGGAUGGGGUGAAGGCAAGUCAGAAGGAGUCACAUGGAAAACAUGCAUACUAUUAAUAUGCAUAAAGAGUUCUUACCGAGGAGAAGAAGCUCCUCACUACAGCUCAUGGGACAAACUGGUUCAUUAGGAAAUAGCUCAGAGCGACUACAGCAUUUUGCUAUUUCAAUUUUUUCCUUAUUUUAAAUGAAGAGUCAGACAGAUGUGUUUUCUUUGCAUGGCAGCAUCGAGAUGGAUCCAAUCUGUGAAAUUUGCUGCCCAAAUAUCAUUUCUAAUGGAAACUGGAACUAAACAAGGGCAUGGAUAUGGAAGGGAGGGGGAGAAGAGAGAAUAUACGAAGAGGAGUAUAUUCAGAGCCACAGCAUAAUAUUUUAUAGUACAGGAGAUUUUCAGAAAUGAUCUUUGCUUCAUUAGUCCCAGACGGGAGCUCCUGUUGCAGGGAGCUAUUAGGGUUUACCAAGAUGAGCACCGAGACAGGCCUUUCUAGGUCUGAGGCUGAGGAAAGCAGCGGCAGCUUGGUGCCUGUCCCCCGCCAGCUGUUUACAGCUUGGAUGCCAAAAGCACAGCUACUAAUCUGGGGAUGCAGUAGAGUGCCUCCUUGUCCAGGAAUGGACAAAAGAAAUAAUUUUUAGAAAUCCAAUAAAGCAAAAAUAAUCUGGAGUUGCCCUGGCUGACGCAGAGUGGAGAGUCAGACCCUUCCCACUCAGACUCCUGCCCUUCCUUCAAUAUUGGCAUCUAAGGAACCUCUACAAGGUUUGGGGAAGAAGUUGGAAGUUUCAGCAAAAAGCAAC
Long non-coding RNA from Equus asinus (donkey), 4407 nucleotides. The record is from Ensembl. NCBI's taxonomy places the organism in Eukaryota, Metazoa, Chordata, Mammalia, Perissodactyla, Equidae.